CAGCCGCCGCGGUAAAACGUAGGGUGCGAGCGUUAAUCGGAAUUACUGGGCGUAAAGCGUGCGCAGGCGGUUCGUUAAGACAGAUGUGAAAUCCCCGGGCUUAACCUGGGAACUGCAUUUGUGACUGGCGAGCUAGAGUAUGGCAGAGGGGGGUAGAAUUCCACGUGUAGCAGUGAAAUGCGUAGAGAUGUGGAGGAAUACCGAUGGCGAAGGCAGCCCCCUGGGCCAAUACUGACGCUCAUGCACGAAAGCGUGGGGAGCAAACAGGAUUAGAUACCCCCGUAGUCCCUGUCUCUUAUAC
Molecule: ribosomal RNA, 301 nt
Filed under: uncultured bacterium
Lineage: Bacteria
Description: partial 16S ribosomal RNA
Rfam family: Bacterial small subunit ribosomal RNA
Source: RNAcentral